RNAcentral lists this small RNA (922 nucleotides) under Histoplasma capsulatum var. duboisii H88. RNAcentral's name for it is "Histoplasma capsulatum H88 hypothetical RNA". Lineage: Eukaryota; Fungi; Ascomycota; Eurotiomycetes; Onygenales; Ajellomycetaceae. The record is from RNAcentral.
GGCCCAACACACUCCACAGUGCACAGAGUGAUUUCCUUCCUUCCCUCCCACUUCUUCGUCUUCCUCUCCGUUAGCACCGAAUUUGGUAUUAUUACCGGUAUUUAGCGCUGGGAUUCGAGACCCGCCCCAUGUUUGAAGGAUCAACCCGAUGCAAGUCUCACCCAGCCCGUGUCGUGGUGGAUUCGGGCAAGGAGGGACAAUCCUUAACAGUCAACAAGUCGCAGAAACAGAACUAAAACGUGCAACGCCUUCUUGGAUGGGCAUGGAUGCCAUGUUUUAAACAGCAUCCCAGGUAUAUAAAAGGUAACACGCCGAUGAAUAUGAUCAGUUAUGAAGACUCUUUGGGGACAAGCCUAUUAAUAGCCCACGAAACAUGGCUGGCAGUAUUCCGCACAGCAACGAAAUAUCAAGGAAGGUGACUGAGGGUGCGGCAAGACCGCUGUGCCACCUUCAAAACACAAUCAUAAAAUACACUCCCUAACUUUGCCUGUCCCAAAUGCAAAAUCGAUAUAACCCACCCAUCCCCUUGUCUCCAUCCGCUAAACUGCAUCCAACAGGGAUUGGCUCCGAAAAUCUGUUUGCAAAUCACCCUUGUCAUGUCUCACUAUUGGGCCUCGUGGAGUCACAGCAACCGGAGAGGUCCAGAACACACUCCUGUGUGUAAUCUAUGUAAUCUCUGGGGAUGGAUAAUUACACGCGGAGGUUAGGCUAAUUACACCCAGCCAAGAGCUGCUAGUUUUUUAUCGACAUAGUGCAUACAAAAUAACCAUGUCAUGAAGAGAUAUCUGCCACUGGUAACGAACUAUCAUAUCAAUAAAUAUCAUAACUAUCAUAUCAGGCAAGAUAUUAUCUUGGAUAUCAUCAAUAUAUUUAUAUAUUGAUAGAUAUUAUAUUAUUGAUACUAGUGCUAAACAUAAUCGGU